This 464-nucleotide ribosomal RNA is filed under the name uncultured bacterium. RNAcentral describes it as "partial 16S ribosomal RNA". It matches the Rfam family "Bacterial small subunit ribosomal RNA", at positions 339 to 795 of the family's 1533-position model. The record is from RNAcentral.
CUACGGGCUGCUCCAGUGGGGAAUUUUGGACAAUGGGCGAAAGCCUGAUCCAGCCAUUCCGCGUGAGUGAUGAAGGCCUUCGGGUUGUAAAGCUCUUUCGGCCGGGAAGAAAUCGUGCAGGCUAAUAUCCUGCAUGGAUGACGGUACCGGACCAAGAAGCACCGGCUAACUACGUGCCAGCAGCCGCGGUAAUACGUAGGGUGCGAGCGUUAAUCGGAAUUACUGGGCGUAAAGCGUGCGCAGGCGGAUGUUUAAGCCAGAUGUGAAAUCCCCGGGCUUAACCUGGGAAUGGCAUUUGGAACUGGACAUCUAGAGUGUGUCAGAGGGGGGUGGAAUUCCACGUGUAGCAGUGAAAUGCGUAGAGAUGUGGAGGAACACCGAUGGCGAAGGCAGCCCCCUGGGAUAACACUGACGCUCAUGCACGAAAGCGUGGGGAGCAAACAGGAUUAGAUACCCCCGUAGUC